CGGGAAGAAAGCUUGCUUCUUUGCCGGCGACCGGCGCACGGGUGAGUAACACGUAUCCAACCUACCCUUUACUCGGGGAUAGCCUUUCGAAAGAAAGAUUAAUACCCGAUAGCAUAAUGAUUCCGCAUGGUUUCAUUAUUAAAGGAUUCCGGUAAAGGAUGGGGAUGCGUUCCAUUAGGUUGUUGGUGGGGUAACGGCCCACCAAGCCUUCGAUGGAUAGGGGUUCUGAGAGGAAGGUCCCCCACAUUGGAACUGAGACACGGUCCAAACUCCUACGGGAGGCAGCAUG
Molecule: ribosomal RNA, 289 nt
Filed under: uncultured bacterium
Lineage: Bacteria
Description: partial 16S ribosomal RNA
Rfam family: Bacterial small subunit ribosomal RNA
Source: RNAcentral